UCGACGUGCUUGACCCGAUCGAGCCACGCGCUGGCGCCGGUGAACAUCGCGGUGGAGGUUUCCAGCAACGCUUCGCUCCAGCCGGAGAUGUCCUGAUAGAACGCGGCGGCGCCAUCGAACAUGGACUCCAUGCUCGUGACCUUGGAGGUAUCCCACGAGCCGAUGGCUUGAUUGAACGCGGCGGCGCCUUCGAACAUGCGAGCCAUGUGCGUGACCUGCGAGGUAUCCCACGAGCCGAUCGGCUGGUUGAACGCGGCGGCGCCAUAGAACAUGUACCUCAUGUUCGUGACCUUGGAGGUAUCCCACGAGCCGAUGGCUUGAUUGAACGCGGCGGCGCCUUGGAACAUGGCACCCAUGUUCGUGACCUUGGAGGUAUCCCACGAGCCGAUGGCUUGAUUGAACGCGGCGGCGCCUUCGAACAUGCGAGCCAUGUGCGUGACCUGCGAGGUAUCCCACGAGCCGAUCGGCUGGUUGAACGCGGCAGCGCCAUAGAACAUGUACUCCAUUCUCGUGACCUUGGAGGUAUCCCACGAGCCGAUGGCUUCAUUGAAAGCGGCGGCGCCACGGAACAUGUACCACAUGUGCGUGACCUGCGAGGUAUUCCACGAGCCGAUCGGCUGAUUGAACGCGGCGGCGCCAUAGAACAUGGACCCGAUGCUCGUGACCUUUGAGGUAUCCCACGAGCCGAUGGCUUGAUUGAAAGCGGCGGCGUCUCGGAACAUGUUCACCAUGUGCGUGACCUGCGAGGUAUCCCACGAGCCGAUGGCUUGAUUGAACUUGGCGGCGCCUCGGAACAUGUCCCCCAUGUGCUCGACCUGCGAUGUAUCCCACGUGCCGAUGGGUUGGUUGAAUGAGGCUUUCCCGUUAAACAGGCUGUUCAUGUCUGUAACCCGCGACACGUCCCAAUCCGGCAUGUCCACGCACCCCGCGCUCCCGCACCGCGCCAAGCUCGGAUCGGUGCAGUUCGGGUCCGUCGAGCAGCACGCCUCGCCGUUCGGGUCGGGUCCGUAGAGCAGGCACGCGUCCACCGCGUCUUUGAGGCCCUGGUUGUCGCCGUCGCAGACGGUGUCGACGCCGGCAGCCGGGUCGUCGCCGGCGGCAUUGGAGAACAUGCCGCCGCACGGCACGCACCACCCGGACUGCACUCGCUCGUCCGCCAGGCACGGCUUGUGGACCCACUCGCUGAUCGGGCCGUCGAUGGAUGCGGAGCCGUCGACGCGCUCAACCCGAUCGAGCCACGCGGUGGCGCCGGUGAACAUCGCGGCGAAACCGGCCGCGUCGCUCCAGCCAGUGAUGUCCUGAUAAAACGCGGCGGCGCCAUAGAACAUGUACCCCAUGAUCGUGACCUUGGAGGUAUCCCACGAGCCGAUGGGUUGAUUGAACGCGGCGGCGCCUUCGAACAUGCGAUACAUGUCCGUGACCUGCGAGGUAUCCCACGAGCC
RNAcentral lists this long non-coding RNA (1442 nucleotides) under Micromonas commoda. RNAcentral's name for it is "long non-coding RNA (MCOM_LNC000200)". The record is from RNAcentral. Lineage: Eukaryota; Viridiplantae; Chlorophyta; Mamiellophyceae; Mamiellales; Mamiellaceae.